This 385-nucleotide transfer-messenger RNA is filed under the name Anaerolineae bacterium. It matches the Rfam family "transfer-messenger RNA". From Rfam's summary of the family: Bacterial tmRNA, also known as 10Sa RNA or SsrA, is named for its dual tRNA and mRNA-like properties. Its role is to liberate the mRNA from a stalled ribosome. To accomplish this part of the tmRNA is used as a reading frame that ends in a translation stop signal. The record is from RNAcentral. Lineage: Bacteria; Bacillati; Chloroflexota; Anaerolineae. RNAcentral also lists the same sequence under 1 other name.
GGGGGUGAAUUAGUUUCGACGGGGGAGGCUGGGUUCGUACGGCACGUCGCGGAGUCUGACCGCGUCAUCAACAGGCAAGGCAAUAACUGCCAACAACAACACUUACGCUCUGCCCGCGGCCGCCUAAGGCCUAAAGCAAGCGUGCUGACCUUGCGAGGUCAGCCGUCCGUCCCAACCGCCGCUAUCCGGGUGGAUUGACGGGCGUCACCAAAGGUAGCGUUUGGCACUCUGACGCCGAUACUGAGCGCCUAAGAAACAUCGGCUGGUUGGCGGCAUAUCCUGUCUGGUGGAGCUACCGCCAACGAGAUCAAAGAUCAGACUAAACGUGUAGAUGUGCGUGCGCGAAUCCUUCGGACCCGGCUGGCAGUGGCCGGCACCUCCAUAC